AUAGAUUGACGUUAUCUCAGAUACAGAAGUCAAUUCCCUUUAAAAUUCUAAAAAAACAAUUAGUAAAAUGUAAUCUUAUAAAUAUAGUCUCAGUAAAAGAGGUAAAAUACACUCUCUGUCUCAAUUAUAGAGGUAAAUGUGACUAUAAAAUCACAACAACGAAUCCCAGUUAUAGAGGUUCGUUUUUUCUCAGUAACAGAGGUAAUUCAGUGCUAAAGUGUCGGGACCGCACCAUGAGUCCCAGCUAUAGAGGUUUCUCACUUAUCCAGGUCCCACUUAACCAGGUUUCACUGUAAAUUAACAGUGGUUCUUAACCUAGGGGUAAUUACCCCCGUGGGGGUAAAACUGGUAUUUUACGGGGGUAAUAAGCUAGCCUAAUAUAACAAUACAACAAACGUACACGUUUUAUUUUUUAUUACCAUUGGGAGGAGGGGUAAAAUCAGGUUCCCUAGUUAGUCAUAGGGGUGACCGGACUGAAAAGGUUAAGAACCACUGCUAUAGAA
Long non-coding RNA from Cydia fagiglandana, 503 nucleotides. RefSeq lists it as uncharacterized. The transcript is spliced from 2 exons. The record is from RefSeq and is a predicted model, not a curated record. Lineage: Eukaryota; Metazoa; Arthropoda; Insecta; Lepidoptera; Tortricidae.